CCUACGGGAGGCAGCAGUGAGGAAUAUUGGUCAAUGGACGAGAGUCUGAACCAGCCAAGUAGCGUGAAGGAUGACUGCCCUAUGGGUUGUAAACUUCUUUUAUAAAGGAAUAAAACGAGGCACGUGUGCCUUUUUGCAUGUACUUUAUGAAUAAGGAUCGGCUAACUCCGUGCCAGCAGCCGCGGUAAUACGGAGGAUCCGAGUGUUAUCCGGAUUUCUUGGGUUUAAAGGGCGCGUAGAUGGGUUGUUAAGUCAGUUGUGAAAGUUUGCGGCUCAACCGUAAAAUUGCAAUUGAUACUGGCAGUCUUGAGUACAGUUGAGGUAGGCGGAAUUCGUUGUGUAGCAGUGAAAUGCUUAGAUAUCACGAAGAACCCCGAUUGCGAAGGCAGCUUACUAAACUGUGACUGACAUUGAUGCUCGAAAGUGUGGGUAUCAAACAGGAUUAGAUACCCUUGUAGUC
Molecule: ribosomal RNA, 460 nt
Filed under: uncultured bacterium
Lineage: Bacteria
Description: partial 16S ribosomal RNA
Rfam family: Bacterial small subunit ribosomal RNA
Source: RNAcentral